Molecule: ribosomal RNA, 376 nt
Filed under: uncultured bacterium
Lineage: Bacteria
Description: bacterial SSU rRNA
Rfam family: Bacterial small subunit ribosomal RNA
Source: RNAcentral
AUACGGAGGGUGCAAGCGUUGUUCGGAAUUAUUGGGCGUAAAGCGCGCGCAGGCGGCUGCGCAAGUCUGAUGUGAAAGCCCCGGGCUCAACCUGGGAAGUGCAUCGGAAACUGCGUAGCUUGAGUACGGGAGAGGGAAGCGGAGUUCCGAGUGUAGGGGUGAAAUCCGUAGAUAUUCGGAAGAACACCAGUGGCGAAGGCGGCUUCCUGGACCGAUACUGACGCUGAGGCGCGAAAGCGGGGGAGCAAACAGGAUUAGAUACCCUGGUAGUCCACGCCGUAAACGAUGGGUACUAGGUGUCGCGGGUAUUGACCCCUGCGGUGCCGAAGCUAACGCAUUAAGUACCCCGCCUGGGGAGUACGGCCGCAAGGCUAAA